GAGUUGGGCAUGCGGUGUGCACGUAGCCCUUCCCCACGCAGUUAGUCGCGUGCCAGGUGAAGGCGGGCGUGCCUCUGCUGCCCAUAAAAUGACUUCAACAUUUAUCUGAGU
RNAcentral lists this small nucleolar RNA (111 nucleotides) under Drosophila virilis. RNAcentral describes it as "snoRNA:GJ25404". The record is from RNAcentral. Lineage: Eukaryota; Metazoa; Arthropoda; Insecta; Diptera; Drosophilidae.